AACGAACGCUGGCGGCAGGCUUAACACAUGCAAGUCGAGCGCCCCGCAAGGGGAGCGGCAGACGGGUGAGUAACGCGUGGGAAUCUACCGUACCCUACGGAAUAGCUCCGGGAAACUGGAAUUAAUACCGUAUACGCCCUACGGGGGAAAGAUUUAUCGGGGUAUGAUGAGCCCGCGUUGGAUUAGCUAGUUGGUGGGGUAAAGGCCUACCAAGGCGACGAUCCAUAGCUGGUCUGAGAGGAUGAUCAGCCACAUUGGGACUGAGACACGGCCCAAACUCCUACGGGAGGCAGCAGUGGGGAAUAUUGGACAAUGGGCGCAAGCCUGAUCCAGCCAUGCCGCGUGAGUGAUGAAGGUCUUAGGAUUGUAAAGCUCUUUCACCGAUGAAGAUAAUGACGGUAGUCGGAGAAGAAGCCCCGGCUAACUUCGUGCCAGCCGCCGCGGUAA
Molecule: ribosomal RNA, 447 nt
Filed under: uncultured bacterium
Lineage: Bacteria
Description: partial 16S ribosomal RNA
Rfam family: Bacterial small subunit ribosomal RNA
Source: RNAcentral